GACGAACGCUGGCGGCGUGCCUAAUUCAUGUCAGUAGAAUGCUGAAGGAGGAGCUUGCUUCCCUGGAUGAGUUGCGAACGGGUGAGUAACGCGUAGGUAACCUGCCUGGUCGCGGGGGAUAACUAUUGGAAACGAUAGCUAAUACCGCAUAAUAGCAGUUGUUGCAUGAUAACUGUUUGAAAGGUGCACUUGCACCACUACCAGCUGGACCUGCGUUGUAUUUGCUAGUUGGUGGGGUACCGGCUCUCCAAGGCGACGAUACAUAGCCGGCCUGCGAGGGGGAUCGGCCAGACUGGGACUGGGACACGGCCCAGGCUCCUACGGGAGGCAGCAGUAGGGAAUCUUCGGCAAUGGACGGAAGUCUGACCGAGCAACGCCGCGUGAGGGAAGAAGGGUUUCGGAUCGUAAAGCUCUGUUGUAAGAGAAGAGCGGGGGGGAGAGUGGAAAGUUCACACUGUGACGGUAUCUUACCAGAAAGGGACGGCUAACUACGUG
This 495-nucleotide ribosomal RNA is filed under the name uncultured bacterium. RNAcentral's name for it is "partial 16S ribosomal RNA". It matches the Rfam family "Bacterial small subunit ribosomal RNA", at positions 28 to 507 of the family's 1533-position model. The record is from RNAcentral.